UACAGAGGUCCCAAGCGUUGUUCGGAUUCACUGGGCGUAAAGGGUGCGUAGGCGGUCAGGUAAGUCUGAUGUGAAAUCUCACAGCUUAACUGUGAAACUGCAUUGGAUACUAUCCGGCUCGAGGAAUGGAGGGGAGACUGGAAUACUUGGUGUAGCAGUGAAAUGCGUAGAUAUCAAGUGGAACACCAGUGGCGAAGGCGAGUCUCUGGACAUUUCCUGACGCUGAGGCACGAAAGCCAGGGGAGCAAACGGG
Molecule: ribosomal RNA, 253 nt
Filed under: uncultured bacterium
Lineage: Bacteria
Description: partial 16S ribosomal RNA
Rfam family: Bacterial small subunit ribosomal RNA
Source: RNAcentral